CCAAACCCUUUGGGAUCCAGCCCCCAGGGGAUCCCAUUUGGGAUUUUGGGUCCCCCCCCCAAUUCCCAAGAAAACGCAACCCAACCUCAGCCCAAAAUGGGGCGAAAUCCUUCAAAUCCCCCCCGUUCCCACCCCGGACCCCAAAAAAGGGAACUCAGCAUCCCAAAUAGAAAUGGGGUCGAGGCACUCCGUGGGAUCCCUUUUGUCCCAGACCUCCCCAGCUGAUUUUGGGGUGGAUUUCCCAUUUUUGUGUUAUUUCGGUGGGAAGAAGAAACCUUGGGGAAACGAAGCCCUUUUGGGGUGCCGAUUUUUUUUUGGGGUGGGAGCCACGUCCACCCUUGGCUUGGCUCCGACCCCAUGGCAAUGGGGUUUUUUUGGGGGGGAUGCCAACCGCUCCAUCCCAUUGCUCCCAGUCCUCCCAGUCCGGACCAGUGCUGGGGCUGGAUCCUGCAAUGGGAUCUCUCUCCGUUUUAUGGGAUGGAGGACGGGGGCCGGGUCCAUCCCCACGUCUUGGUUUCCCCGCGCUGCCUGGUGCGGGAUGCAGGAAAAGAGGACGCAAAAAAAAGUAAAAAAAAAGGAGAAAAGGGGAAAAACGAAGACAAAAAUCCNNNNNNNNNNUUUUUUUUUUUCCCCGGACCAUGCAGAAAUGCAAACACCUGCACCCGAUUAUUUGUCUUUUAAACAGAAAAAAAACAACAAAAAACAGGUGCCGACGUCGCAUCUUUUCCAAAAAAGGCGACAAAAAACCCCGGGGCCCCGCUGCUGCCGGCUAUGGGGUCGGCCCCACACGGGGUGGGGAGAGGGUCUCACAUCGCAUCCGGGUUGAAUUUUGGGAGAAAAGUGGGGUUUUGGGGUGUUUAUGGCCCCAGGUCCGGCCCCAAAUCCCUCCUCCCGCCCCAGCUCUGCGUUUCCAGACCCCGAUCCCAUUCCCUAGCCCCAAAUUUUCCCUCUUCAGACCCCGCUGCCCUUCUGCUGCUCCCAAACCCAGCCUCAAGCCCCUUCCUCCAACCUCCAGUUCUCCGCAGCCCCAAAUCCCCUUUUCCAGCCCCAAAUCCUCUUCUCCAUCCCAAAGCCCAUGUCUCCAGCCCCUAGUCCUGUUCUCCAGCCCCUAAUCCUCUUCUCCAGCCCCAAAUUCUCUUCUCUGCCCCCCAAAUCCCUUCUUCAGCCCCAAACCCCCUUCUCAAGCCCCAGAUAUCUUUCUCCAGCCCCAAAAUCCCUUCUCAAGCCUCAAAUCCCCCUUUCCAGACCCUAAUCUCAUUCUCCAGCCCCAAAUCUCCUCCUCCAGCCCCUAUUCAAGUUCUCCAGCCCCAAAUCCUCUUCUUCAGCCCCAAAUCCCCUCCUCCAACCCCAUAUCUCAUUCUCCAGCCCCAAAUCUCCUCCUCCAGCCCCUAUUCAAGUUCUUCAGCCCCAAAUCCCCCUCUCCAGCCCCAAAUCCCUUCCUCCAGCCCCAUAUCUCCUUCUCCAGCCCCAAAUCUCCUCCUCCAGACCCUAUUCAAGUUCUCCAGCCCCAAAUCCC
This 1516-nucleotide long non-coding RNA is filed under the name Anas zonorhyncha (Eastern spot-billed duck). RNAcentral's name for it is "lncRNA (ENSAZOG00000005657.1)". Lineage: Eukaryota; Metazoa; Chordata; Aves; Anseriformes; Anatidae. The record is from RNAcentral.